GCUUGAGGAGAGGCAAGCUCAAUUAAGCAGUGUGUGUGCAAUUUCAGGGAAAUGGGGUCUGCUUCUUAGAAUCUACAAGAAUGCAAGGCCUCUUGAGCAAAAGUAUGGGGGUGUUUCUUUUUUUAAUGGAUCACCUGGUGGGGCCUCAACACCCCUAUUCUUCUUUCCCAAGGUGGAAGAGCUGCUAACUGCAGAAAUGACGUCAGUCCCAGCUUGUAAUGGUGCUGACUGGGGAUGGGCAUGAUCAAAUGUUGCUCCGGGUGAUGUUUGGCUCUCUCUGGCCACCUUUCAUCUGGAGCAUCUCAUAACACUUUACAGGAGAUAGUUAAUUAUACUUCCUGAGGCUUUGGGCAGGAACAUGCAUCACAGACUGCACUUACGUCUGUGACUAUGUCAGAAGAAAUGCUCAAGGACUAAUUACUUUGCAUUUGUAUGUAUCAUCUCCUUUCACAUGGGAUCUCAAAGCAAUUUCCCAAGAAACAAACUUUGACCUAUGGAAGAAAAAAAAGAUGUUUUUCAUAUGAACACAGUAAAAUUCACAGCAUAUGAAGGAAGAGCUGAACAGGCUCACAUCUGUAAGGAUAAGUGGGUGGAAGUUGAUAAAAGUGAUGCCCCAAGAGAUCUUCAGUCAUCAGAUCAACAUUCAUGUUAUGAGCAAAAAGGCUCUCUGACUUUCAUUCAGCCCAAGACCCAGAGUUAAACUGGGUUUAACCAGCUAACUGGUUCCUUGUUGAUCAAAAGGUAACACUUUUGAGAUGGGCAUGUGAUGACUCCGGCAGACAUCCAGUUGUGUUUCAAAAGGACAUGGAUUCUAGGACACCAAGAGAGACGUGUCUAAUAAGUUGUUUUGGUCUCUAAAAGUUAUCUGAGUGGCCAACACACCGGUAGGGACAUGACCCAAUUGCUUGGGCAGGGGCAGAACAAAUUGGAACUAGAGCUGUGCUGGAGACAGGAUUCCAAAGCCAAGUCCAUGAAGCUAUAAGCAAUAAAUGAUUUUCC
This 999-nucleotide long non-coding RNA is filed under the name Vulpes vulpes (red fox). RNAcentral's name for it is "lncRNA (ENSVVUG00000004915.1)". Lineage: Eukaryota; Metazoa; Chordata; Mammalia; Carnivora; Canidae. The record is from RNAcentral.